Siniperca chuatsi (mandarin fish) is the source of this 3433-nucleotide RNA transcript. It is a transcript of the gene named RING finger protein 224-like, with no coding region annotated. The transcript has 2 exons. The record is from RefSeq and is a predicted model, not a curated record. Lineage: Eukaryota; Metazoa; Chordata; Actinopteri; Centrarchiformes; Sinipercidae.
UACCGUCGCUGCAGGCGCUCAUUUCUAAUUAUACAGUUAAAUGGGUCUAUUUAAUCCACCUUAUACACAUGACCCACACUUGUGACAGAUCAACAAGGUGGCACACACCAAGUUGGGAAAUCAAUUUGAACGAGUAUCGACCGGAUUAUUUUGCGGUAAACGGGGUUUAGUUCUGGUAAUAUGAUCGCGGUCCACGGGUUGUUCCUCAGGCCGGUUACGCAACAAGUCUGGGAUAGCACAACCGGGUGGGGCCACGACAGCUAACGGGUCUGACUCAUGCCCGAGAAAUGCAACGUUUCAUUGGCACCCGGGCAUUUUCUCCUGCGGAAGUGUUCCUCACUAUGCUCUGCGAAUUUGAUCAUCAAUGUAAAUGGACAUUUUAGUGAAAUAAACCUGUCUGUAGCCCAAUUCGACGGAACAUGGCGGAGGCGGUCAAUUCAGGAGGCGACUGUUGCUCUGUUCCGCCUGACGUGAGCGACACGUUUCCCAGCGAGGAAUACGAGUGCAAAAUAUGUUACAACUACUUCGACCUGGACCUCCACACCCCCAAACUGCUUAAAUGUUCCCACACCUUCUGCCACGAGUGUCUUGACACUCUGCACUCCCGGGAGGGUCGAGGGUGGAGAAUCGGCUGCCCCGUGUGUCGCCACCGAACUCCGGUACCGGAAUAUCGGGUUCACAACCUCCCCGACAACACCGCAGUGACCGAAGCGCUCCCGCUCAAAACGCGUGAGCCUGUGCAGUCGUCAAAUACAGACGUCUCUUCAGUCCCCUCCCCAGAGAGCAACGACAGCUGUCAGACUUGCAAACAAGUUGCUUUUGCGACCGGCUGCGGGUGCGCCAUCUUUUCUUUCCUGUCCAUGGUGGUGCUCUUAUUUCUGGGCCUCAUCUUUUUGCAUAACUUCAAUAACACUAGGUCGGCCGUCGGCCCUGUCUGUUUGUUUGUUGCCAGUGUCCUCGCCCUGCUCUCGCUCAUUCUCACGUGGUUAAUGUGCGUGUUGAAGUACCGACCUGAAACUGAAGUAAGCAAUUUCAGCUCCCUCACUCAUAUAAUGUGAUCCUCUGGCUGCAGAGCUAAGACACACAAACCUAGCCUGGUCAGUAUAAUAAAAGGGAAAUCUGUUUAUUUAUUUCAAUGUGUUAAAGACGCCCUUAUAGAUGCCUCAGUCAGUAUUUGUGAACUCUAACUAAUAAAGUCGCCAUGAACUUUGUGGAGCCUAUCACACACAGGAGCUCUCUGUGUGAAUCGCAGUCUUGAGGUCAAGUAGGCUCCCCAGUUUAAACAUGUUUUCUCCAUGUCAUGCACCUUUUGAACCCUCUAUAGGCCUUGAUGAUUACAUGUCACAGUAGGCAAAAUCACAGGUGUAAAGUAAAUGAUAAAAAUCAAUGAUGGCUGAAUUCCAUUUAGCUGCUUCAGUUUCAGGGUCCUGGUAUUGUGCAUGCUGGCUCGCUGUCACUGUCAUGACUUACUGGGACACUUGAAUAUAACAGCACCAUCGUUAAUGUUAUUAGUAACACCUGUGCUUUUCCUUAAUGACUCAAAAUGUCUGCUGUGAAAAGGGGCCUAUUUUGACCUAAAUGGAUGGCUGUAUGAGCAUUGCGCCUCAAGCAAACCUUGUAUGUGCUAUGUGUAUUCCAUAAAACAUUUCAAAUGCUUACAUAGAAGGCGUAAAAUCAUCGAAAAGGCACUUUAACUGGUCUUGCUAAUGGAAACAUUAGCAGACACUGACUUGAAUAAUAGGAAUAUUGGCCAUUAGGGCAGUGCCCUCCCCUAAUCUCCCACAUUUGUUUCCUCCACUGAUAUUAUUUAUAUGACAGAUUUCCUACGGUGCUUGGAAGCUGCUGUGCAAGCAGGCACAUGCGUGUACUGCAUGUAUGAGUCAAGCUGUUGGUAUGAUACUGAUUUAUUAUAAUCCUCUCGUGCCACCACCAUUUCUAACAACAUUACCUAUUGUGCCAAUGACAGAACCUGCUUACCCCAUAACCACCUCUGUGUGAUUACAUUGACUCCCCGUGGUGGACCAGGUCAGCAGGGGAUCCCAGGCCAAUGACCCUGAGGGGACGUGAGCCUUCACAAGAUGAGAGAAAUAACUUUGGGGUAGGGGGCCAAAAUAAGUAGUGUUGUAAAGUAGUGAGACAAUGGAAGUGCAGAUGACCUCCUAGGGGUCUUAAAUCAUCUGAUGGACUUAAGUUUGCUUUCCCAAGUCAUAUAAACUGCAAGAAGAUAUAACUUCCACUAACGACUUGGUCCACGCCCAGGUCUUAGGUUACAGGGAAGUGUGAAAUAAAAGAAUGCUUAAUUGAAUUUGUUUUAUAUAAAUAAUCUCUUCCAUCAUUUUCUAUGUUUAAGAAAAUUAGAAUGAAAUUCACACUGCUGUCAAUUCACUAGGUUUGGGUUAUUAGAUCAGUUAUGAUUCAAGAAGAUGUCUCCAUUUAGUUUAGCUAUCUGCUGAAUCCCAAUAACACAGUGGGUAUUUAUCUCCACUUAGUGUUGUUUUAAGAGGCGACACUGGUCUCAGGAGUUAAAAUCCAUCUCUUUCAGGUCACUCAAAGGGACUCCUUCAUUUGGUCAUCCAGUCGUGUGCAGAAGUCUCUUUGAGAGCAGCAAGAACUUAAAAUAAGCAUAUCAUUAAGUAAAUACCCUGACAAGUCACAUGACACCGGUCAGCGGUUGUCAUAGGUGGAUCCCGAGGGAACAGCCAUUAGCCACUGUGCACGCUCUCAAGAAAGACGGGGUCACCCAGAAAGCAGACAGUCCCAGGAUACACUUCCUCUCUUCCUGUGUCUUGCCUUUAAGUGUGUGCAAAGUGUGUCCUUGUGUCAUUAUCAGAUUGGACACACGUAUUUCACAGAGGAGAUGAAAGUGUUCCUUUUGCUCAUAACAUCUGCCUUCUGAUGGUUUGUGUCCCAACAAGAUGACCUCAAAGAAAUAGCCUGAGGAGAGCGAUUAUCACCACUCUGUAGCGCACUCUGGCUCAUCAUGUGAUCACAUGCUUGUGUGGAUGUUUGUGCCCAAAUGUGUGUUCAUGACAAGGAAAAGGUGUGAAUUUGUUUGCGUGCAUGUGUUUGUCAGAAUAUGUCUGUACAGACAUAUGGCCUAACAAGCAUGCGAACACUCGAAAGACCUGUGAGAAGGGAUCAAUGUCCAGGGUCAAAGUGUCAAACAUGGCUUACCUCGCCAUUUCACUUUCAUCAUGCCACUCUUCAGAUGUCAAAGACUUCCCUCUGUCCUGGACACUCACAUACAAACACUGUUGGAUCCUCUGUCUGUCAAAUUGAAACAAAUAGCAUUUAGAAAGAGUGCAGUGCAAAGCUCUAGUUAAAUAGCAGUAGCUGCAAAUGCUGUGAAACAUUGAAUUGGACAAUUGUUAUGCAAUUCUCCAUGUAUACUGUAGCUGUCCCUCCCUAUCAAAUAAACAUGAAAUGAAAUAAA